RNAcentral lists this ribosomal RNA (484 nucleotides) under uncultured bacterium. RNAcentral's name for it is "partial 16S ribosomal RNA". It matches the Rfam family "Bacterial small subunit ribosomal RNA", at positions 30 to 507 of the family's 1533-position model. The record is from RNAcentral.
AUUGAACGCUGGCGGCAGGCCUAACACAUGCAAGUCGAGCGGAUGAAGGGAGCUUGCUCCUGGAUUCAGCGGCGGACGGGUGAGUAAUGCCUAGGAAUCUGCCUGGUAGUGGGGGAUAACGUCCGGAAACGGGCGCUAAUACCGCAUACGUCCUGAGGGAGAAAGUGGGGGAUCUUCGGACCUCACGCUCUCAGAUGAGCCUAGGUCGGAUUAGCUAGUUGGUGGGGUAAAGGCCUACCAAGGCGACGAUCCGUAACUGGUCUGAGAGGAUGAUCAGUCACACUGGAACUGAGACACGGUCCAGAGUCCUACGGGAGGCAGCAGUGGGGAAUAUUGGAGAAAGGGCGAAAGCCUGAUCCAGCCAUGCCGCGUGUGUGAAGAAGGUCUUCGGAUUGUAAAGCACUUUAAGUUGGGAGGAAGGGCAGUAAGGUAAUACCUUGCUGUUUUGACGUUACCAACAGAAUAAGCACCGGCUAACUUCGUG